AACGAACGCUGGCGGCGCGUUUUAAGCAUGCAAGUCGAACGGGAUGGAUCUUCGGAUUCUGAUCGUGGCGGACGGGUGAGUAACACGUGGAUAAUCUGCCCUACAGUUGGGGAUAACUCAUGGAAACAUGAGAUAAUACCGAAUAGAGACCCUAAGCCAAAUGGCUAUGGGAGGAAAGGAGCUACGGCUCUGCUGUUGGAUGAGUCUGCGUCUGAUUAGCUAGUUGGCGGUGUAAUGGACCACCAAGGCGACGAUCAGUAGCCGGCCUGAGAGGGUGAACGGCCACAUUGGGACUGAGACACGGCCCAGACUCCUACGGGAGGCAGCAGCUAAGAAUCUUCCGCAAUGGACGAAAGUCUGACGGAGCGACGCCGCGUGAAUGAAGAAGGCCGAAAGGUUGUAAAGUUCUUUUCCUGAAGAGGAAUAAG
This 428-nucleotide ribosomal RNA is filed under the name uncultured bacterium. RNAcentral describes it as "bacterial SSU rRNA". It matches the Rfam family "Bacterial small subunit ribosomal RNA", at positions 29 to 453 of the family's 1533-position model. The record is from RNAcentral.